Molecule: ribosomal RNA, 1944 nt
Filed under: Triticum aestivum (bread wheat)
Lineage: Eukaryota; Viridiplantae; Streptophyta; Magnoliopsida; Poales; Poaceae
Description: partial small subunit ribosomal RNA
Source: RNAcentral
AUGCCGUUGUCGGCAACGGGAACGGCACAGCUCUGCGGCAGCGGCAGCAACUACACCACCAACAGCACCUAUCAGUCGAACCUCGCCGCCCUUGCCGCCACCCUCCCCACUAAUGCCUCCUCCUCCCGUCAGCAAUUUGCCGCCGCCACCGUUGGACAAGUACCUGAUGCGGUGCACGCGCUCGCGCUCUGCCGCGGCGACUUCGCCAACGACACGGCAUGUGCGGACUGUGUUGCCGCCUCAUUCCAGCACGCACAGCAGACAUGCCCCAACGACGAGGCCGCCACCGUCUACUACGACUAUGAUGACGUAAACAAUCAGAGCGAUUUCCUCAGCCCAGCGGCCGGUCUCACCGAGAACGGUACGCUCUUCGAGGCAUGGAAUCCGGGGAACAUCUCCGCGGACGCCACCAUCACCGCCGCAGACGUCCACAACCUGCUGACUGUGACAGCCCAGGACUCGGCCGCCGACACGGCGAGGCGGUACUCCACAGCGGUGAUGGAUGCCGUGCCAACGCUCUACUCCCUCACACAGUGCACGCCGGACCUGUCCGCCGGUGAUUGCCUGGUUUGCCUCCAGCGGCUUAUCGGCAUGGUCAACGCCACCACGUCCGUGCGCCAGGGAGGACGGAUCUUCGUCCUGCGCUGCAACAUCAGGUUCGAGACGUUUAUGUUCUUCGACCAGCCUAUGCGGCGGAUCAAUCCAUCCUCCAUCACUCAGGCUCCACCAGGCAAGAGAAUCAAACCUUGGAUAAUUGCAAUAUGUGUGUCUUCUGCUGUGGCACUUGCUGCUUUCUGCUUCAUGGUUUAUCGUCGUUGCCUCAGAGGAAGGAUAAGAAAACGUGCAGUGAGAUUGCGAGAAAGGCGCACUAAUAAGUUGCACGGAGGGGAUCAUGAACUAGUAUGGGAUAUGGAAACAGGAAUGUUAUCAGGGUUUUCGUUUUUUGAGUUUGAUCAGAUACAGGAGGCCACGAGUAACUUUUCUGAAGAAAAUAAACUUGGAGAAGGCGGGUUUGGCCCUGUAUACAAGGGACAUUUUCUUCAUGGAAUGGAGAUAGCAGUUAAGAGGCUUGCUUCACAUUCAGGACAAGGUUUGGUGGAGUUCAAAAAUGAAGUUCAGCUCAUAGCCAAGCUUCAACAUAGGAAUUUGGUGAGACUGUUGGGAUGUUGCUCUCAAGGAGAGGAAAAGAUACUGGUCUAUGAAUACAUGGCGAACAAAAGCUUGGACUUCUUCAUAUUUGAUGAACACAGAAAAGCUUUAAUGGAUUGGAACAAACAUCUAACAAUAAUUGAAGGAAUAGCAGAAGGCCUUCUUUAUCUACAUAAGCACUCUUGUCUGCGUGUUAUACAUCGAGAUCUUAAGCCAAGCAACAUUCUCUUGGACAAUGAAAUGAAUCCUAAAAUUUCGGAUUUUGGACUAGCAAAAAUAUUCAGCCCAAAUAACAACGAGGAAAACAGUACGAGAAGAGUAGUUGGUACAUAUGGUUACAUGGCUCCCGAGUAUGCUUCUGAGGGCCUUUUCUCUAUCAAAUCCGAUGUAUUCAGCUUUGGUGUUUUAGUUCUCGAGAUCCUUAGCGGGAAAAGGAAUUCCGGUAGCCAUCAAUGUGGUGAUUUCAUUAAUCUCCUCGGAUAUGCUUGGCAGUUAUGGGAAGAUAGAAGAUGGAUUGAUAUUGUUGAUGCAUCACUUAAUUCAUUUCUUCCAAAGACUCACCCAACAGAAAUUAUGAGGUGCAUUAACAUUGCACUACUAUGUGUACAAGAGAAUGCAAUAGAUCGACCAAACAUGUUGGAUGUUACUGCAAUGCUAAGCAGCAAGACAAUGAUCCUACGUGAGCCUAAGCACCCACCGUAUUUCAAUCUAAGGGUAGGCAAUGAAGAGGAUAUUUCUGCUACACAAUCGUGCAGUAUAAAUGGUGUUACGCUAUCUAUAGCAACUGCUCGAUAG